RNAcentral lists this ribosomal RNA (460 nucleotides) under uncultured bacterium. RNAcentral describes it as "partial 16S ribosomal RNA". It matches the Rfam family "Bacterial small subunit ribosomal RNA", at positions 338 to 795 of the family's 1533-position model. The record is from RNAcentral.
CCUACGGGAGGCAGCAGUGAGGAAUAUUGGUCAAUGGACGAGAGUCUGAACCAGCCAAGUAGCGUGAAGGAUGACUGCCCUAUGGGUUGUAAACUUCUUUUAUAAAGGAAUAAAACGAGGCACGUGUGCCUUUUUGCAUGUACUUUAUGAAUAAGGAUCGGCUAACUCCGUGCCAGCAGCCGCGGUAAUCCGGAGGAUCCGAGCGUUAUCCGGAUUUAUUGGGUUUAAAGGGAGCGUAGAUGGGUUUUUAAGUCAGUUGUGAAAGUUUGCGGCUCAACCGUAAAAUUGCAAUUGAUACUGGCAGUCUUGAGUACAGUUGAGGUAGGCGGAAUUCGUGGUGUAGCAGUGAAAUGCUUAGAUAUCACGAAGAACCCCGAUUGCGAAGGCAGCUUACUAAACUGUGACUGACAUUGAUGCUCGAAAGUGUGGGUAUCAAACAGGAUUAGAUACCCGGGUAGUC